GCGGUAAGUACGGAAGGGAGGAAUGUCGGUGACUGUUUGUGCUAUAAUAAUCAGUUCAGUGUUUGCUUUCGCUUAUUAACAUUGGUGUGGGGAGGUAACAAAAAUUUUAUUGCAGUGAACUUUAUAAGCUUCUCAGAAGACUUAAUGAUUCAAGAAUGCCUGUUUACAGCACUAUUGAUCGGUUUUUUUUAAACUUCUACGGUGGCUGUCUUCGUGUGGUUCGAACCAAUUCAGCCAUAAAAGCUGUUUGCAAAGGCACUCGCAGAAAUCCUAUUAGAAAACAGAAAAUUAUGUUAAGGAUCAAUGCCAAGACUUAUUCGAAAUGAUCGCUACAUUUUCAUGUAGUCCUACCGUCGGUCAACUGUUCAUCUUCUGACAACGUGCACGAAGCAAAUUAGGAUCAACAGAUGCCAACGGCUUCUUCAGUGGCACGCGCGUGCCCAUGAAAGUAUCAUUUUUAUAGAUAAAAAAAGUUUUCACUGUUGAAGAAAUUUUUAAUAACGACAAAAUAUAUGCAAAAACUUCCAAAUACCCAAAAAAUGUAAUUUCAAGAGUUCAACGUGGUCACUAAUUAGCUGCUGUAAUGGUUUAGUGCGGAGUCUCUUUUAAAGGCGUAGUAAAGCAGUUAAGCAAUACCCUCGUCGAUAGAGAGCUUUUGAUCUUCCUGCAAGAUUCUGCUUCAGCACACAAGGAAAAAUUUUAAUAUUCCAGCAAUAUUCCUGGUUUCAUACCUGUAGAGGAUUGGCCAUCUUGAAUUCCAGAUUUGAAAACAUUUGACUACAGUGUGUGGCCUUAACUGCACAACACAACCUUAUUCAUUAGCAGCAAAGUGUUGGCGUUCAUUGUUGUGGUCGCGCUCCUAUUGGUUGUACUCGCCGAUCCACACUGUCUUCUUCGACCAAUAAGAGCUUCCGCUUCUGAGCAAUUGCUUUCUUCAAACGGUAAAAUUGUUGACCGCACAGGACCGAACUAAGAAUUUAGCCAGAGAGAAGAAGCCUCUUCCUGACCAUCAAUUCUGGUUUGGCCAACGUUUGCGUCGGCGCACCGCUAUUCGACCACGACAAUUUUUGCUUGACGCCUUCAGACAUGGAUCGAUUUUGUUGUUCAUGGAAACUCGGUUAUUGAAGUUUUUAUUGCGUUAAUUCGUGUGGCACCCAUACAUCAAAAUAAUUUUUGUAUCCAGCUUUAUUUAAAUGGUUCCAAACGGUCUUUUGUAAUAUGUUUAGCUUGUGGGCCAUCGAAACCGUGCUAACUUGACGGUCGGACUCGACGAUUUCUAUUAUUUUAUUAUUACUUAUAUUUUCUAGAAUUGGACCGCAAAUACUAUUCACAUUUUCAGCCGAUUUCCUUAUGUUUUUGAAUUAAUUGGAGAAAAAUUAAAAUGUGCCAUAUUUUCCCUUUGCUCGUGCCCAUCUUUUAUGCCUGCUCAAACAAUACUAAGUCAAGCAAUCACACAACAUCUGAGAAGAGUUUUUAAUAUGAAAUCUUUCUGACGACAUAUGGCGUUAUCCAAUCGCACUUAAGCGACGCGAGGUCCACCUUUUAAGAUCCAAAUGUAUUUUUUGCUAUUUCAUAAAAUAUUAUAAUGUAUAUAAAGAAAGUAAUCCCUCGAAGUUGACUUGGUAUAUAUAGUAUAUGAAGUGGUACUUAUAUAUUAUCUUUUUUAGGAAGCUUUUGCUGAGUACCGUGUCUGAUUAGUCGAGUACCAUUAGAGAAUUUUUAAAAUAUAUUUUUGAACAUACGAUAAUCUUUUUGUAUAUAACUUAUAAGAGAUUUAGUAACUAUCGGAGCUUUCGUGGACUGCUUCGCAUUUCCAAUGUUGAAUAAACAUAGAAAUUUUUUUUGGAUGUA
This is a non-coding RNA of Bactrocera oleae (olive fruit fly), 1851 nucleotides long. The record is from RefSeq and is a predicted model, not a curated record. Lineage: Eukaryota; Metazoa; Arthropoda; Insecta; Diptera; Tephritidae.